AGCAUUCAUUUUAUAUGCGGUCAGUUUCCAUUCGACAUGACUAACAUAGAAUAGAAUUUAAUGCUGACCCCAAACAUACUCUCUCACCUUCUAAAUGCUUAACCAAUGUUAACCCCAAUUUUUCAUAAACUAAACCUAAAUUUUAAAAGGCCAGUAAAAUGCAUUAUCAUUCUACAUGAGGCGUAUAGAAUAGAAAUGGUAAAAAUGUAUUUGCAAUCUAAAGAUCAUCUUAACAUAUUUUUCAAAUGCUGAUAUGGUCAUGCCUUCAUGGAAGGUGGUAAUGCUUGCCCCAAUGCCAACUCCAAUUGUACAUAAACUAAACCCAAUCAACUAUCACUAAACUCUACAUAAAAAUAUAAACCCUAAUCCAAUGUCAACUCCAAUCUUCAAUAAACUAAACCCUAGCCACUAAUCACUAAACCCUAUAUGGAAAUAUAAACCCUAAUCCAAUAUCAACCUCAAUCUUUCAUAAACUAAACCCCUAACAUGCAUUUCCAUUCUACAUGAGAUAUAGAAUAUAAAAUGUGACAAACGAUAUAGCUCAGUACAUAUAUAUAUUGUUCAAAUUUUGAAGUGUCUAUGAUUGUAGGAGCAAAUAUUAUGUACUACGUUAUAUCGGUAAACUAAAUCCACGUGCAAUAAUACAAGGGACAUGUAUUUACAUUCUUCAUUAGCCACAUGAAAUAUAAAACUAAUG
Molecule: long non-coding RNA, 697 nt
Filed under: Brassica napus (rape)
Lineage: Eukaryota; Viridiplantae; Streptophyta; Magnoliopsida; Brassicales; Brassicaceae
Description: long non-coding RNA (BNAP_LNC025594)
Source: RNAcentral